AAGGAGCCUGCAGGUGGAAAGACAGAUGGGGGCAAGCAGAUGGAAUGUCCCUCACAAAUCUGAUUUACCAGCACAACCACACUCACCCAACGCAUUUCAAAUGACAGCACUCCUCAAAGAGGUUUGUUUGCCACGUUAAAUCACAAUUCAUGCAAACACAGCUGUUUCCCGGGGAACAUGCACACCUAGCGACUGGCCAGGCUCACUACCCUCAGCCAGUGUCACAGCACAGUGAAGCCCUGCAGAGCUCCUGGCUCUAAGGCACCCUCCCACAGUGUGCUCAGUGCUGACCAAAUUCCUGCACGAACAAACAAGCUGUAAGCAGCUCUCCGGUUUCUCACGAGCGAGUUGCUGGUGCUGAGCUCCUGGUGUGCACAACAGCAUCAGGUCUGCUGCUAAGAAACGUGCUCACUUGCUAAGUGCUUUCCAGCCCCUCAGGGUCAGAGCAGAUCUGGAGCAUCUGGUCUGGGUCCCAACUUAGAGCCUUGGAAAGGGCUGUCUCACUCUCGCUGUGAAACACAGGGCCCUGCUGCAAGGUGCCUACUGACAAAGCUGGAAGGAGCCUGUCUGGAAGGGAAAGUGUUGCUGCCGGAGCUUUAUUCCAGAGCCAAGAGUCUUUCUGCGCUGCCCUGCGCCCUGCCCAGAUGGAAGCCCCGGUUCAGCAGUUGAGCUCAUUGCCCACAGGAGCCAGUCAGGCCUCCAGCGCGUGGCACGGGGUUGGAGAGAGCUUGCACGGAAAUGCUGCCGUGUAAAACCCAAUAAAAUAAAGCUGUGAGCGGAG
Molecule: long non-coding RNA, 781 nt
Filed under: Phasianus colchicus (ring-necked pheasant)
Lineage: Eukaryota; Metazoa; Chordata; Aves; Galliformes; Phasianidae
Description: lncRNA (ENSPCLG00000012611.1)
Source: RNAcentral